Molecule: ribosomal RNA, 251 nt
Filed under: uncultured prokaryote
Description: partial 16S rRNA
Rfam family: Bacterial small subunit ribosomal RNA
Source: RNAcentral
ACGGAGGGUGCAAGCGUUAAUCGGAAUUACUGGGCGUAAAGCGUGCGUAGGCGGAUAUGUAAGUCAGAUGUGAAAUGCCCCGGCUCAACCUGGGAACUGCAUUUGAAACUACAUGUCUAGAGUGUGGGAGAGGAGGAUGGAAUUCCCCGUGUAGCGGUGAAAUGCGUAGAUAUGUGGAGGAACACCAGUGGCGAAGGCGGUACUCUGGCCGACUACUGACGCUGAGGCGCGAGAGCAUGGGGAGCAAACAG